Molecule: ribosomal RNA, 468 nt
Filed under: uncultured bacterium
Lineage: Bacteria
Description: partial 16S ribosomal RNA
Rfam family: Bacterial small subunit ribosomal RNA
Source: RNAcentral
GACGAACGCUGGCGGCGUGCUUAACACAUGCAAGUCGAACGGAAAGGCCCUGCUUUUGUGGGGUGCUCGAGUGGCGAACGGGUGAGUAACACGUGAGUAACCUGCCCUUGACUUUGGGAUAACUUCAGGAAACUGGGGCUAAUACCGGAUAGGAGCUCCUGCUGCAUGGUGGGGGUUGGAAAGUUUCGGCGGUUGGGGAUGGAUUCGCGGCUUAUCAGCUUGUUGGUGGGGUAGGGGCUUACCAAGGCUUUGAAGGGUAGCCGGCCUGGGAGGGUGACCGGCCACAUUGGGACUGAGAGACGGCCCAGACUCCUACGGGAGGCAGCAGUGGGGAAUAUUGCACAAUGGGCGGAAGCCUGAUGCAGCAACGCCGCGUGCGGGAUGACGGCCUUCGGGUUGUAAACCGCUUUCGCCUGUGACGAAGCGUGAGUGACGGUAAUGGGUAAAGAAGCACCGGCUAACUACGUG